Molecule: unclassified non-coding RNA, 4369 nt
Filed under: Leishmania donovani
Lineage: Eukaryota; Euglenozoa; Kinetoplastea; Trypanosomatida; Trypanosomatidae
Description: gene:LdHU3.30.4540(CDS-product:PAS-domain_contain ing_phosphoglycerate_kinase_putative)
Source: RNAcentral
UGAACACGCCAUUCCAAAAACAAUUCGCUUAUGCACUCGCUUCUCUUGCUAUCUAUCUUAUUCAACAAUCCUGCAAGUUGACUCACGGCUGCGCCAACCAGCAUACACGCACACGCACACAACACCACGCACACACAGCAGCAGCAGACUCCUUAUAGGGACAAACAUAUAAGCCGGUAUUUCUCUUCUUCUUCUUGCCUCCACCUACGCACCCGCACCCACCCAACAAGGCUUACUCCGCUUUUAUUUUCAGUUAUCUUUUUUUCAUUUGCGUGUCUCUUUUUUUCUUUUUUUUUCACUGAUCGCUCGGCUUUGUGCGCGCGUGUGGCCCUCCGCGCGCCUGCCGCGUUGGCGCAGCCAAGCAUUGCCCUCCGGCCGCCACCGUACCGGACACAAAUAUCGAAGUCUGUCGUUUCUUUUGGUCUUUCACAUCGCACAUUUCUCUCUCCCCAUUUUGCCUCUUUUCAGGUUAUCGAAAAGGCAUAGCCGACAUACUUGCUUGCUCGAACACAGCUCCACUUGCCUGCCUGCUGCCCUUCCCCUGCCGGUUGUGCCCCCUUUUCUCUGACCACGCUGAUAGCGGCACAUUCGCAUUCCCCGUCACCAACGGACUCACAGCCAAUGUAUCAGGACUCGAAGAUUUUGAUGAUAUUCAAGUCGCUGCGCGACAUCGUGGUGAUUGGCGACAAUGAUAUGGUUAUCACCGACAUGAACGCUGCGGCUGUGGCUUUCUUUGGCUGGAAGGUCGAUGAUGUAAAGGGCAAGAGCAUCACCUUUCUCGUCCCCACUCACCCGCUGGAUGUGCAGGACAACACCGUCACCCUUAUGGCACACCUUGCCAACUCUACUGAUGUUCCUGUGGUGAUCCAAACCACCCGCGAUCCCCACGCAACAGUGGUAGCCUGGACGAUCUUGCCUAUCCGUCUUCCCCGCGUGUACGAGUUUGGGGUGCACAUAAACAUUCGUGCCGCCCUCACCCCGAAGCUGUCCGUCUCGGACUUGGACUUUAAGAACCGCACGGUGUUCCUGCGUGUGGACUUCAACGUACCGUUCGACCGCGAGACCGGCUCCAUUCGCGAUGACAGCCGCAUCUGUGCAGCGGUGCCGACCAUUCGCAAGAUCAUGGAGGACGGAGGGCGUGUGGUGAUUGGGUCUCACCUGGGUCGUCCCAAAAAGCCGAAUGCGAAUCAAUCCCUCAAGCGCAUCUUGCCUCGUCUGCAAGAGGUGCUGGAGAAGGAGGUCACCUUCUGCACGGACGCCUUCAAGGCUGGCAAGGAUGUGAAGGAGAUGAGGAACGGGGAUGUCAUGCUGCUGGAGAACCUGCGUUUUUUCAAGGGCGAAGAUAGCAAGGAUGCUGCCGAGCGGAACAAGUUGGCCUCAGCGCUCGCUUCCUUUAGCGAUAUCUUUGUCUGCGAUGCUUUCGGUACCGUGCAUCGCAUGACGGCCAGCAUGACGGGUGUGCCCCGCGUCUUGGGUGCUGGGGUGACAGGCUUCCUGAUCGAAAAGGAAAUCAGCGCCAUCAGUAUGGUGAUGCGCAACCCGGAGCAGCCGCUGGUCGCAGUCGUUGGCGGCUCCAAGGUGUCGGACAAGAUCAACGUCCUCUCCUCCAUCUUCAACUUCGCGCACACAGUGAUCAUCGGCGGUGCCAUGGCCUACACCUUCCUGGAGGCGCAAGGCUACAGCGUGGGCAAGAGCAAGGUGGAGCGGGUAGUGCGGGAGAAGGGACGUGAUGUGGAUCUGCAUAACACCGCUCGCGAUCUGAUGGAUCUUGCCAAGGCCCGCAAGGUGCGCCUCAUCCUGCCCAUCGAUCACAGCUGCGCCAAGGAGUUCAAAGACGCGGAGCCGUUCGUCACGAACAACGCUGACAUUCCCGCAGAGUACAUGGGACUGGACUACGGCCCCAAGUCCAUUGAACAGGCGAAGAAGGCCGUUGCGGAGGCCCGCACGCUCAUCUGGAACGGCCCUCUCGGCGUCUUUGAGUUCCCGCACUUCGCGACAGGCACCAACGCCAUCGCGGAGUCUAUCAAGGAUAACAAGCACGUUGUUUCCAUCGUCGGUGGUGGUGAGACGGCGGCGGCGACAAAAGGCUACCACGAGUGCAUCACCCACGUAAGCACCGGCGGUGGUGCCUUCCUGGAGCUACUAGAGGGACGCGCACUGCCAGGCCUCAUCUGCCUCACCGCUCGUGCCUCUCCUAAGUUGUAGAGGUGAGGCAACGCGGAGCUUGAAAGUGACGUCUGCGGGGGUGGGCAGAGGUACAUCAGUGCACAGCGGGUCUGUAUGUGUGUAUGUGUGUGCGUGCAAGUGUUGUGCGGCCGAUGCGGUGGAACGAACUGCAUUGCAUCACUGCUGGAGUGCAUCCUUGUUCCAUCCACAGCUGUUGUCCCCCGCCGCUUGACUCGCCACUCCCGGUCCUGUCUUCUUUAAAGCAACACUGUAAGUAAGUGCGCGUGUAGAUGUGCCGAUGCUUUUUUGAUCUCGGCCGCGGGGCGACCUCUCUGCUUCCGCCAAGGUGGCCUUCUCUGUCUGGCUUCCGCAGCUUCUCAUCGCUUACCGUGAGAAGAGAGGGAGAGACAUAAACACACACACACAUGCACACAUGUACUUCCGAUUUCGUGAGGAAAAAGGAGUACGACCAAGACGUUCAUAAGAGGGGCGACACACGCACGAGGGAAAAGGAAAACGGAAACAUGGCAACUGGGGCGAAAGAAACGGCGCACACGUUCACGUACACUGAGCAACGAGAGAAGACGGCCAGGCACCACAACAUGCUUGUUUACAGUGCGACUGCGCCCAACGGCGCACACAUCGACCGGCGGCGAAAAGACGAUGUCAACGAAACUAAAAAAAGCGUUUUUUUUUUAAUCUUGGUGAAGAAUCACGACGUACUGCACACUUCAGCCUUUCUUUUUUUUCGAUGGCCUUUUACUCUGUCCUUUCCGGCCCCGAGGACGGAGGGAGACCUGAGUGGGUGGUAUCUCAGGGUCCAGUCCCCCAUGCAGUGGGAGGCGACUAGGCGGCCCCCCUAUCCCUGUCCAUGCCGAGACACUUCCGGUGGCGACAAGGGCCAGGCACCUUCGAGGUGGGGAAGUCGGUGCAGUGUGUCGCUACCGAUGUCGGCAGCCAGGCCCUGGAUGGCGUGGUGUCGAAGCCGCCCGAGCCAGUGAGCACGUUGGUGCCACUCACAUGAUUAGGCAGAGCGUCAGCGUGACUCGAGCAUAUCCCGCCCGGCCCUCACACAGCCUACCAGUGGGAGGGAAGCCUGAGCCGCCUCAGGGAGCGGAUGCACCAGGUGGCGCCCGGCAUGAUGUGAGCGGCUGUGAGGCGACCUGCAAAGCGGGUGGUGUGUAGAGUUCGGGGCAGCGGACGUGUUCGGGUGACGGCGCCGGCGUUGCCUUCAUGCAUACCUAGGGCGGCUUCACACCACGCGGUAGGGGGGGUCGGGUGUGCUCAUUGCUCUAUCGCAGAAUCGGCGAGUUGGGAAAAAAGCCUUUCCUUCACCGACGUGCAGCUGUGUUGACUCUCCUGACUGACCCCUGUGCUACACAGGCGCCAUGUGACGCAGCAACGCUCCGGCAGAAGGUAUAACAAGAAAAAGGGAGACUUGAUGCCAGGCGCAUGUGAGAAGAAGCAGUAAGUCACGUCAGCCAUUGUGGCUGUGCUGCCAUCUCGAACUUCUGUCGUCUGUUCUUGUGAUCACGUUCACCCAUCCACCAUCUCGUCGUCAAGCUGACAUCUGCGUGUGGCCGUGUGCCCAUGUGCCGAUCGAAGUGACGUUGCGGCAAGGCACGGGCCGAUUGCCAUCUUGAGAGCAAGGAAAACAGUAGCAGCGUUGCCGUGCUGUGCUGUGUGUGUGUCUCCCCCUCCUAAUUUCUCUGUCUUUUGCUGUGCUUUCCUCCAUCCACUGUAAUGGGCGCGUGUGUGCGCGUUCGCCUUACGUUUCUGCGGACGACGGGUGCCCAUGUCGACGCGCUUCGUGACGGGCGCGGUCAAAGAAGAGACCGUUCUCCCUACUUCUCUCCAUGCUUUCUUGUCGUUUGUUUGCUUUGCUCGCGUUACUUGGGUGUCCUUCUGAGUUGUCGGUCGCGCGCCUUUCGGCACCGCUUCUGCCUGCCGGCGUGCGUUGUCGUGGCGGUGCCGCUUCCUUUCGUCACUCCUGUUUCUCACCGCUCUUCUUUGCGUGUUUUUGCUCAGCUCUCUCCUUUUAUGGUCGCUCAUGGUCUCGUGUCUCGAGACGCGCACGGAUGCUCUGCAGCAGCCACAACAACCGCAACAACGUUUCGUGGCGAAUAGAGCAUCUCCGUCGUCUGGCGUACGCGGGCGUCUCGCACAGACUCGCAGUCGACUGUGAAUGAUGGGGAAGGGGUGG